This 440-nucleotide ribosomal RNA is filed under the name Salmonella enterica subsp. enterica serovar Montevideo. RNAcentral describes it as "bacterial SSU rRNA". It matches the Rfam family "Bacterial small subunit ribosomal RNA", at positions 338 to 795 of the family's 1533-position model. Lineage: Bacteria; Pseudomonadati; Pseudomonadota; Gammaproteobacteria; Enterobacterales; Enterobacteriaceae. The record is from RNAcentral.
CCUACGGGUGGCUGCAGUGGGGAAUAUUGCACAAUGGGGGAAACCCUGAUGCAGCAACGCCGCGUGAGUGAUGACGGUCUUCGGAUUGUAAAGCUCUGUCUUUGGGGACGAUAAUGACGGUACCCAAGGAGGAAGCCACGGCUAACUACGUGCCAGCAGCCGCGGUAAUACGUAGGUGGCGAGCGUUGUCCGGAUUUACUGGGCGUAAAGGGAGCGUAGGCGGAUUCUUAAGUGGGAUGUGAAAUACCUGGGCUUAACCUGGGUGCUGCAUUCCAAACUGGGAAUCUAGAGUGCAGGAGGGGAGAGUGGAAUUCCUAGUGUAGCGGUGAAAUGCGUAGAGAUUAGGAAGAACACCAGUGGCGAAGGCGACUCUCUGGACUGUAACUGACGCUGAGGCUCGAAAGCGUGGGGAGCAAACAGGAUUAGAUACCCCAGUAGUC